This 644-nucleotide ribosomal RNA is filed under the name Malassezia globosa. Its description in RNAcentral is "eukaryotic LSU rRNA". It matches the Rfam family "Eukaryotic large subunit ribosomal RNA", at positions 38 to 667 of the family's 3401-position model. Lineage: Eukaryota; Fungi; Basidiomycota; Malasseziomycetes; Malasseziales; Malasseziaceae. The record is from RNAcentral.
GCAUAUCAAUAAGCGGAGGAAAAGAAAAUAACAAGGAUUCCCCUAGUAACGGCGAGCGAAGCGGGAAGAGCUCAAAUUUGAAAGCUGGCACCUCCGGUGUCCGCGUUGUAAUCUCGAGACGUGUUUUCCGUGCGGCUCUAUGGACAAGUCCCUUGGAAUAGGGCAUCGUAGAGGGUGAGAAUCCCGUACUUGCCAUGGAAGAACCGUGCUUUGCGAUACACGCUCUAAGAGUCGAGUUGUUUGGGAUUGCAGCUCAAAAUGGGUGGUAGACUCCAUCUAAAGCUAAAUAUCGGGGAGAGACCGAUAGCGAACAAGUACCGUGAGGGAAAGAUGAAAAGCACUUUGGAAAGAGAGUUAAAAGUACGUGAAAUUGUCGAAAGGGAAGCACUUGAAGUCAGCCAUGCUGCUUGAGACUCAGCCUGGCCUUUGGGCUUGGUGUAUUUCUCGGUGGCAAGCCAGCAUUGGUUUGGGUCGUCGGAGAAGCGCAUAGGGAAUGUAGCGUCUCCGGACGUGUUAUAGCCUUAUGCAGGAUACGACGACCUGGAUCAAGGAACGCAGUGUGCCCUCUGGGCGGGUCUUCGGACACCUUCACACUUAGGAUGCUGGCGUAGUGGUUUUAUGUGGCCCGUCUUGAAACACGGACC